UAUUGCACAAUGGGCGCAAGCCUGAUGCGGCGACGCCGCGUGCGGGAUGGAGGCCUUCGGGUUGUAAACCGCUUUUGUUCAAGGGCAAGGCACGGUUUUUGGCCGUGUUGAGUGGAUUGUUCGAAUAAGCACCGGCUAACUGCGUGCCAGCAGCCGCGGUAAUACGUAGGGUGCAAGCGUUAUCCGGAUUUAUUGGGCGUAAAGGGCUCGUAGGCGGUUCGUCGCGUCCGGUGUGAAAGUCCAUCGCAUAACGGUGGAUCCGCGCCGGGUACGGGCGGGCUUGAGUGCGGUAGGGGAGACUGGAAUUCCCGGUGUAACGGUGGAAUGUGUAGAUAUCGGGAAGAACACCAAUGGCGAAGGCAGGUCUCUGGGCCGUUACUGACGCUGAGGAGCGAAAGCGUGGGGAGCGAACAGG
This 415-nucleotide ribosomal RNA is filed under the name uncultured bacterium. RNAcentral's name for it is "bacterial SSU rRNA". It matches the Rfam family "Bacterial small subunit ribosomal RNA", at positions 362 to 776 of the family's 1533-position model. The record is from RNAcentral.